Molecule: unclassified non-coding RNA, 400 nt
Filed under: uncultured fungus
Lineage: Eukaryota; Fungi
Description: sequence contains ITS1
Rfam family: 5.8S ribosomal RNA (bases 1-105)
Source: RNAcentral
GAAAUGCGAUAAGUAGUGUGAAUUGCAGAAUUCAGUGAAUCAUCGAAUCUUUGAACGCACAUUGCGCUCCCUGGUAUUCCGGGGAGCAUGCCUGUUUGAGUAUCAGUAAAUUCUCUCAUACCACUCCUUUGUUGGACGUAUGGAUAUGAGUCUUCCCAGGCGAAGGAAACUUCUGAAACUGGGUGACUUGAAAUGUAUGGUUUGGCUGGGACUCUUAAGAUCCAAUUGCCGAAAAGCGCGAAAAGAACUGAAGGGCUCUGGCCUGUUUAAGUUUAAAAAUCCGCUGAAACUCGGUGCUUUGGAAUUUUUUUCUUAGGAGCUAAAUCCAUCGCCUUCUCAAACUAUAUACACUUGAGCCUCGCUUUCUGCAGGCACCUGUGAUCUUGAUCUCAAAUCAGGC